RNAcentral lists this ribosomal RNA (468 nucleotides) under uncultured bacterium. RNAcentral describes it as "partial 16S ribosomal RNA". It matches the Rfam family "Bacterial small subunit ribosomal RNA", at positions 28 to 507 of the family's 1533-position model. The record is from RNAcentral.
GACGAACGCUGGCGGCGUGCUUAACACAUGCAAGUCGAACGGACAGGCCCUGCUUUUGUGGGGUGCUCGAUUGGCGAACGGGUGAGUAACACGUGAGUAUCCUGCACUUGACUUUGGGAUAACUUCAGGAAACUGGGGCUAAUACCGGAUAGGAUCUCCUGCUGCAUGUGGGUGGUUGGAAAGUUUCGGCGGUUGGGGCUGGACUCGCGGCUUAUCAGCUGGUUGGUGGGGUAGUGGCUUACCAAGGCUUUGACGGAUAGCCGGCCUGAGAGGGUGACCGGCGUCAUUGGGCCUGAGAGACGGCGCAGACUCCUACGGGCGGCAGCAGGCGAGAAUAUUGCACAAUGGGCGGAAGCGUGAUGCAGCAGCGCCGCGUGCGGGAUGCCGGCCUUCGGGUUAUAAACCGAUUUGGACUGUGACGAAGCGUGAGUGACGGUAAUGGGUAAAGAAGCACCGGCUAACUACGUG